This is a long non-coding RNA of Leptidea sinapis, 632 nucleotides long. RefSeq lists it as uncharacterized. The transcript has 2 exons. Lineage: Eukaryota; Metazoa; Arthropoda; Insecta; Lepidoptera; Pieridae. The record is from RefSeq and is a predicted model, not a curated record.
AAUGAAACUGGUGACACUCGGGAAACGAUGCCGAAUGAGACAAUACCGGAAUCUUCACAAACUUCUGACGUAGAGAGACACACAGAGGCUGAAAACGCUCCGACCAAGUCGCAAUUGCCGGAGGCUAGCAUCGAGGAAGCGCCACCACAACAACAACAAGUACUAGCCUCGGAAACUAUCAUGCCUUCACCAUCAGAACCUGCUCGUAAAAAAAAAACGACAUAAUCCUAAGAAAACGCAGCCACAGGAAGAUCCGGCAGAUAUCAUGCUCUCAGAAGCCCUUGAAUGCUUGCAAAAGUCUUCGACCGACAUCAUCGAUCCAUACUCUUCAUUUGGAAGAUACAUAGCCAACGAGCUAAGGAAAUAUGAUCCGCACACAUUAGCGUAUGUUAAGAACGCUAUCAAUAAUAUAAUUUUUGAAGCCGAUAUAGGGAAAUACACACCACAACAAAUUAAUACAGGAUACUAUACACAGCAGUACAGUAAUUCCCCUACAAUGGACUCAUCUGGCACUUCAUCAUCAGCAUCACAUACCGCUACGUCUUCUCAUGCCAUUACACCAUCACCUAAUGCCAAUGAUGGAUUCGAAACUAUCACUGAAUUGUAGUUAAAAUAAACAAUUGAUUUUUAAA